AUGCAAGUCGAACGAAGUAGCAAUACUUAGUGGCAGACGGGUGAGUAACAUGUGGGUAUCUGCCCUUUGGCCUGGAAUAACACGAGGAAACUUGUGCUAAUACCGGAUAAGUCUUUACAGAGAAAGCUUUAUGCACCAUUGGAUGAGCCUGCACUUGAUUAGUUUGUUGGUAGGGUAACGGCCUACCAAGACUGUGAUCAAUAGCUGAUUUGAGAGGAUGAUCAGCCACAUUGGGACUGAGACACGGCCCAAACUCCUACGGGAGGCAGCAGUGGGGAAUCUUGCACAAUGGAGGAAACUCUGAUGCAGCGAUGCCGCGUGAGUGAAGAAGGCCUUUGGGUUGUAAAGCUCUUUCGUCGGGGAAGAAAAUGACUGUACCCGAAUAAGAAGGUCCGGCUAACUUCGUGCCAGCAGCCGCGGUAAUACGAAGGGACCUAGCGUAGUUCGGAAUUACUGGGCUUAAAGAGUUCGUAGGUGGUUGAAAAAGUUGGUGGUGAAAUCCCAGAGCUUAACUCUGGAACUGCCAUCAAAACUUUUCAGCUAGAGUUUGAUAGAGGAAAGCAGAAUUUCUAGUGUAGAGGUGAAAUUCGUAGAUAUUAGAAAGAAUACCGAUUGCGAAGGCAGCUUUCUGGAUCAUUACUGACACUGAGGAACGAAAGCAUGGGUAGCGAAGAGGAUUAGAUACCCUCGUAGUCCAUGCCGUAAACGAUGUGUGUUAGACGUUGGAAAUUUAUUUUCAGUGUCGCAGCAAAAGCGAUAAACACACCGCCUGGGGAGUACGACCGCAAGGUUAAAACUCAAAUGAAUUGACGGGGACCCGCACAAGUAGUGGAGCAUGUGGUUUAAUUCGAAGAUACGCGCAGAACCUUACUAACACUUGACAUGUUCGUCGCGACUUUAAGAGAUUAAAGUUUUCGGUUCGGCCGGACGAAACACAGGUGCUGCAUGGCUGUCGUCAGCUCGUG
This 965-nucleotide ribosomal RNA is filed under the name uncultured marine bacterium. Its description in RNAcentral is "bacterial SSU rRNA". It matches the Rfam family "Bacterial small subunit ribosomal RNA", at positions 55 to 1064 of the family's 1533-position model. The record is from RNAcentral.